UUAUGGCCAUAUCACAUUGAAACACAUGUUCUUGUACAAUCACUGAAGUUAAGCAAUGUUGAACCUGGUGAGUACUUAGAUAGGUAACCACCUGAGAAUACCAGGUGCUGUAAG
Acanthosepion pharaonis is the source of this 114-nucleotide non-coding RNA. Lineage: Eukaryota; Metazoa; Mollusca; Cephalopoda; Sepiida; Sepiidae. The record is from the annotation of a GenBank genome assembly.